Molecule: ribosomal RNA, 523 nt
Filed under: Fusarium sp. ID4-2
Lineage: Eukaryota; Fungi; Ascomycota; Sordariomycetes; Hypocreales; Nectriaceae
Description: eukaryotic LSU rRNA
Rfam family: 5.8S ribosomal RNA (bases 157-310)
Source: RNAcentral
CAUUACCGAGUUUACAACUCCCAAACCCCUGUGAACAUACCUUAAUGUUGCCUCGGCGGAUCAGCCCGCGCCCCGUAAAACGGGACGGCCCGCCAGAGGACCCAAACUCUAAUGUUUCUUAUUGUAACUUCUGAGUAAAACAAACAAAUAAAUCAAAACUUUCAACAACGGAUCUCUUGGUUCUGGCAUCGAUGAAGAACGCAGCAAAAUGCGAUAAGUAAUGUGAAUUGCAGAAUUCAGUGAAUCAUCGAAUCUUUGAACGCACAUUGCGCCCGCUGGUAUUCCGGCGGGCAUGCCUGUUCGAGCGUCAUUUCAACCCUCAAGCCCCCGGGUUUGGUGUUGGGGAUCGGCUCUGCCCUUCUGGGCGGCGCCGCCCCCGAAAUACAUUGGCGGUCUCGCUGCAGCCUCCAUUGCGUAGUAGCUAACACCUCGCAACUGGAACGCGGCGCGGCCAUGCCGUAAAACCCCAACUUCUGAAUGUUGACCUCGGAUCAGGUAGGAAUACCCGCUGAACUUAAGCAUA